UAUAUUUCCAACUUUGCCCUCAAUUUACAAACCAAGUCAACCAAGAAAAAACUUGACCAAACUAAAUUUUCAAGCAACACUGAUAAUGCUAUCCCCACCCCCACCAUUAUACUUCCCUGCAGCCAUGGUUUUAAAAGUCGAUGAUGAAGCCGAUGACGAUGAAUGGCCGCUGCUUUCCGGUGAAUGAUCCUCCGAUGGAGGUGAAGGUUGCAGUUUCAAUGACAAUGGAAAAGGCUC
This 237-nucleotide long non-coding RNA is filed under the name Medicago truncatula (barrel medic). Its description in RNAcentral is "lncRNA gene30350". Lineage: Eukaryota; Viridiplantae; Streptophyta; Magnoliopsida; Fabales; Fabaceae. The record is from RNAcentral.